Apis mellifera (honey bee) is the source of this 556-nucleotide long non-coding RNA. RefSeq lists it as uncharacterized. Lineage: Eukaryota; Metazoa; Arthropoda; Insecta; Hymenoptera; Apidae. The transcript is spliced from 2 exons. The record is from RefSeq and is a predicted model, not a curated record.
ACGAGAGUGUGCCGCUUCGAUUCUCGAUCUCGCGCCGCUCCGAUUGGCUGGCCGUCCGCAUCGAUUAUUAUCGAUCGACGCGCACGCGACAACGUCACGCGACAGCCGUCAAAAUGGUGCGAAACACGAUGGCGAGCACAGCCACCGCGAUUUUCCGCGAGUGUACGAGAAGAUUAUAUUAUCGAGAACGAAGAAUCCCGUGGAGAUGGAGCCGUGGACGGUGAACGAGGACGACACCGAGGACGACACCGAGGAAGGGCACACGAGGCAAAUCAAAUCUUUUCUCUCCUGUAAAUUCUCUUCGCCGAGGAACACGUGUUUAAAAAAAGAAGAAGAGGACUCACCUUAGUCGCGCAAUUUGUCUCCAGUCCCUGGAACCAGUCCGGGUGUUCCUCCCUGCUGCUGUACGCCGUUUUCGAGUCGUCCUUGUUCAAAGCGUUGUUUAGAACCGCAACCUUCGCUUUAAGGUUAUCUGCGAGGAAUUCGGACGCUUUCUCGCCGGCGAUCAGAAAAUCGAUAUUGACACGCCUCAACGUGUCGUAAAGGAGAUCCGCAU